Molecule: ribosomal RNA, 443 nt
Filed under: uncultured bacterium
Lineage: Bacteria
Description: partial 16S ribosomal RNA
Rfam family: Bacterial small subunit ribosomal RNA
Source: RNAcentral
CCUACGGGGGGCAGCAGUGGGGAAUAUUGGGCAAUGGGCGCAAGCCUGACCCAGCAACGCCGCGUGAAGGAAGAAGGCUUUCGGGUUGUAAACUUCUUUUCUGAGGGACGAAGAAAGUGACGGUACCUCAGGAAUAAGCCACGGCUAACUACGUGCCAGCAGCCGCGGUAAUACGUAGGUGGCAAGCGUUAUCCGGAUUUAUUGGGUGGAAAGGGCGUGUAGGCGGGAAAGCAAGUCAGAUGUGAAAACUUAGGGCUCAACCCUGAGCCUGCAUUUGAAACUGUUUUUCUAGAGUGCUGGAGAGGCAAGCGGAAUUCGUGGUGUAGCGGUGAAAUGCGUAGAGAUACGGAGGAACACCAGUGGCGAAGGCGGAUUGCUGGACAGUAAAUGACGCUGAGGCGUGAAAGCGUGGGGAGCAAACAGGAUUAGAGACCCCGGUAGUC